AACGAACGCUGGCGGCAUGCCUAACACAUGCAAGUCGAACGAGACCUUCGGGUCUAGUGGCGCACGGGUGCGUAACGCGUGGGAACCUGCCCUUAGGUUCGGAAUAACUCCCCGAAAGGGGUGCUAAUACCGGAUAAUGUCUUCGGACCAAAGAUUUAUCGCCGUUGGAUGGGCCCGCGUUGGAUUAGCUAGUUGGUAGGGUAAAAGCCUACCAAGGCGACGAUCCAUAGCUGGUCUGAGAGGAUGAUCAGCCACACUGGGACUGAGACACGGCCCAGACUCCUACGGGAGGCAGCAGUGGGGAAUAUUGGAAAAUGGGCGAAAGCCUGAUCCAGCAAUGCCGCGUGAGUGAUGAAGGCCUUAGGGUUGUAAAGCUCUUUUACCCGGGAUGAUAAUGACAGUACCGGGAGAAUAAGCUCCGGCUAACUCCGUG
RNAcentral lists this ribosomal RNA (433 nucleotides) under uncultured bacterium. Its description in RNAcentral is "partial 16S ribosomal RNA". It matches the Rfam family "Bacterial small subunit ribosomal RNA", at positions 29 to 507 of the family's 1533-position model. The record is from RNAcentral.